Molecule: transfer RNA, 91 nt
Filed under: Maribacter sedimenticola
Lineage: Bacteria; Pseudomonadati; Bacteroidota; Flavobacteriia; Flavobacteriales; Flavobacteriaceae
Also listed under: 1 other name
Description: tRNA_Ser_GGA
Rfam family: tRNA
About the family: Transfer RNA (tRNA) molecules are approximately 80 nucleotides in length.
Source: RNAcentral
AGAGAGGUGGCCGAGUGGUCGAAGGCGCACGCCUGGAAAGUGUGUAUACCCCAAAAGGGUAUCGAGGGUUCGAAUCCCUUCCUCUCUGCUA